AUCACAGGGUUUUUAGAUUUCGGGGAAGCACACUGGAUUCUCCAGUUCAGCUCCUGCAGCGGUGCUGCAGUAGUGGGUAACUCACUGGACAGUCUGCCUGUCAGUCAUAGAAGGGUCGCACAGCUGCCUCUCGUGCAAGUGCAAACUGGAGCGCGUGGGGAAAGCUGCCUGUGCUGGAGGACUCGCCCGUGCCCAGAAUCGUCCCCGAAGCAAGAGGGCUUCCAAAAGUUUGCACAAAGCACACCAGGCUCUGGGAGAGGCUUUGACAGUGCACUGCCCGCUGCACUGCGCUCUGCAGUACGGGACGACGGGUUCUGUGCCUGCCUGAUCCUCUCAGUGCGAGCAAAGCUUCCUCAUUUCGUCACUUCCCAUCCCUUCUUCCAGGUGGCUGGGAACACCUUGGCGAGUUCCGGAAUCAUCCAACUGUGAGUUUAUCAGAAUUGUCAAAGUCGUAGCACUUGAACUUGAGAUUUAAAUCAUUACUGCGAAGAAGGGUUUCUUUUAGGAACCUGAUAUGCCUGUGCACUCAGCCUACUCCUGUUAGUUUCAAUAAUAGUGGCUAAUUUUAACUGCGUAAGAUUUUACAUAUUCUGUUGACUUACAUGGAUAAGUUCAUUUAUAUGAGAAAGAGAUAGGGACUGUGAGACAGAGAGAGAGAGAGAGAGAGAGAGGUCUUUCCCAUCUGGUAGCUUGCCUCUCAGAUGCCAGCUAGGCCAGAGCUGGGCCAGAGCCAAAGCCAGGAGGCAGGAAUGCAGCCCGCAUCUCCCACUGGACGUGCACCCAGGUAUGUGUUCCGUCAUGAGGUGGCCUCCAGGGUCUGCACAAGCCAAAGUCUGGCUCAGGAGCUUGAGCCAGGAAUCAGAUCCGGUCCUCAGAGAUGAAGCAGGCGUCUCACGCCCUUUGCUACGACAGUCCUUUGGUAUUUACUUUGUGCGACCUCAGCACUGUGUUCUGACUUCUCGGAGCCGCCCCGCUUCCUAAGUCUGCAACAUAACCCGGAAGCAAGGAGCAUCGCCGGCUCUUGACGCCGUGGACGCCUCUUUCCUCGACGUCCUCUCGGACGAGCAUCCAGAGCAGCACGGAACGGCGCAGUGGGCAUCACCGAGGGCUUUCUGAGCCCUGUGGAUGAGGCCGAGUCCUCCUGUGGAGGUUCUGUAAGUGUAUCACUGGUUUAGUAACUUGCUUUCUAGCAAUGGACACGCAAUUACAUAAAGUGCCUUUCAGAAUUAUUUAGGACAGCCAAGUGCUUUUUCUCCCUUUAAUGAUUAGUGUGAGACCUUAUAUUAUUAGUUUUCUGCUAAUACUAGUCACUCUUGAAUUAUUAUACUGUGGCCAUCAUAUGUCAUUAUUUUAGUAUGAUACAGAAAUCUGUUCAAAUUAUGGACAGAAUGCUUGCACGUUCUUUCAAAGACAGUGUGCUAUUUGAAUU
RNAcentral lists this long non-coding RNA (1429 nucleotides) under Oryctolagus cuniculus (rabbit). Its description in RNAcentral is "lncRNA (ENSOCUG00000036523.1)". The record is from RNAcentral. Lineage: Eukaryota; Metazoa; Chordata; Mammalia; Lagomorpha; Leporidae.